This 253-nucleotide ribosomal RNA is filed under the name uncultured bacterium. RNAcentral's name for it is "partial 16S ribosomal RNA". It matches the Rfam family "Bacterial small subunit ribosomal RNA", at positions 524 to 776 of the family's 1533-position model. The record is from RNAcentral.
UACGGAGGGUGCAAGUGUUGUUCGGAAUUACUGGGCGUAAAGGGCGUUUAGGCGGUGUGGUAAGUCAGAUGUGAAAGCCCUGGGCUUAACCCAGGAAGUGCAUUUGAAACUGCCAUGCUUGAGUAUGGGAGAGGAGAGUGGAAUUCCCAGUGUAGAGGUGAAAUUCGUAGAUAUUGGGAGGAACACCCGUGGCGAAGGCGACUCUCGGGAACAAUAAUUACGAUGAGGCGCGAAAGCGUGGGGAGCAAACAGG